UCUCGAUUGGUCUAGUGGUUAGGAUACCUGCUUGUCAUGUACAGAUCGCAGGUGGCCGGGGUUCGAUUCCCCGAUCGAGAG
Molecule: transfer RNA, 81 nt
Filed under: Xylaria bambusicola
Lineage: Eukaryota; Fungi; Ascomycota; Sordariomycetes; Xylariales; Xylariaceae
Description: tRNA-Asp
Rfam family: tRNA
About the family: Transfer RNA (tRNA) molecules are approximately 80 nucleotides in length.
Source: RNAcentral